GAACGAGAAAGUGGAGCAAUCCAUGAGUAAAGUGGCGACCGGGUGAGUAACACGUGACCAAUCUACCCUCGAGUGGGGGAUAACUCCGGGAAACCGGGGCUAAUACCGCAUAACAUCUUCGGAACGGAAGUUCUGUUGAUCAAAGGAGCAAUUCGCUUGAGGAGGAGGUCGCGGCUGAUUAGCUAGUUGGCGGGGUAAUGGCCCACCAAGGCGAAGAUCGGUAGCCGGCCUGAGAGGGCGCACGGCCACACUGGAACUGAAACACGGUCCAGACUCCUACGGGAGGCAGCAGUGGGGAAUUUUGCGCAAUGGGGGAAACCCUGACGCAGCAACGCCGCGUGGAGGAUGAAGUCCCUUGGGACGUAAACUCCUUUCGACCGGGACGAUUAUGACGGUACCGGUGGAAGAAGCCCCGGCUAACUUCGUG
This 427-nucleotide ribosomal RNA is filed under the name uncultured bacterium. Its description in RNAcentral is "bacterial SSU rRNA". It matches the Rfam family "Bacterial small subunit ribosomal RNA", at positions 64 to 507 of the family's 1533-position model. The record is from RNAcentral.